GGCGCUUCACACCCACCUAGAGGAGCCUGUUCUAGAACCGAUAACCCCCGUUCAAACCUCACCUUUUCUUUGUUCCCCCCGCCUAUAUACCGCCGUCGUCAGCCCACCCUGUGAAGGCCCAGUAGUGAGCUAAACUGGCAGAGCCCAAAACGUCAGGCCGAGGUGUAGCGUAUGAAGAGGGAAGAAAUGGGCCACAAUUGCUUCAACAGCUAAUACGAAUUGUAACACUGAAAAUGCAAACAUGAAGGAGGAUUUAGAAGUAAGAGGGUAAACAGAGUGUCCCCCUGAAAUGGUCCUGAAGCGCGCACACACCGCCCGUCACUCUCUCCUAACUUAAACAACUAUAAACUAACUUAUAAUCAAAUCCUUAAAGAGGGGAGACAAGUCGUAACACGGUAAGUGUACCGGAAGGUGCACUUGGAAGAGA
Molecule: ribosomal RNA, 427 nt
Filed under: Ostorhinchus selas (meteor cardinalfish)
Lineage: Eukaryota; Metazoa; Chordata; Actinopteri; Kurtiformes; Apogonidae
Description: partial 12S rRNA
Rfam family: Bacterial small subunit ribosomal RNA
Source: RNAcentral